CCUACGGGAGGCAGCAGUGGGGAAUAUUGGGCAAUGGGCGCAAGCCUGACCCAGCAACGCCGCGUGAAGGAAGAAGGCUUUCGGGUUGUAAACUUCUUUUAAGAGGGAAGAGCAGAAGACGGUACCUCUUGAAUAAGCCACGGCUAACUACGUGCCAGCAGCCGCGGUAAUACGUAGGUGGCAGGCGUUGUCCGGAUUUACUGGGUGUAAAGGGCGUGCAGCCGGGAAGACAAGUCAGAUGUGAAAUCCCGGGGCUUAACCCCGGAACUGCGUUGGAAACUGUGCGGCUGGAGUGCAGGAGGGGUAAGCGGAAUGCCUGGUGUAGCGGUGAAAUGCGUAGAUAUUAGGAGGAACACCGGUGGCGAAGGCGGCUUACUGGACUGUAACUGACGUUGAGGCUCGAAAGCGUGGGGAGCAAACAGGAUUAGAUACCCGAGUAGUC
This 442-nucleotide ribosomal RNA is filed under the name uncultured bacterium. Its description in RNAcentral is "partial 16S ribosomal RNA". It matches the Rfam family "Bacterial small subunit ribosomal RNA", at positions 338 to 795 of the family's 1533-position model. The record is from RNAcentral.